GAAAAUUUAGUUAAUAAUUUAUAACAUUAGCUUGUCAUGCUAAAAUAGCCUCAUUUAGGCAAUUUUCU
This 68-nucleotide transfer RNA is filed under the name Balanus trigonus. Its description in RNAcentral is "tRNA-Asp". Lineage: Eukaryota; Metazoa; Arthropoda; Thecostraca; Balanomorpha; Balanidae. The record is from RNAcentral.